Molecule: ribosomal RNA, 430 nt
Filed under: Pseudomonadota bacterium
Lineage: Bacteria; Pseudomonadati; Pseudomonadota
Description: Proteobacteria bacterium partial 16S ribosomal RNA
Rfam family: Bacterial small subunit ribosomal RNA
Source: RNAcentral
UGGGGAAUAUUGGACAAUGGGCGAAAGCCUGAUCCAGCCAUGCCGCGUGUGUGAAGAAGGCCUUAUGGUUGUAAAGCACUUUAAGCGAGGAGGAGGGUACUGGUAUUAAUACUACCAGCUACUGGACGUUACUCGCAGAAUAAGCACCGGCUAACUCUGUGCCAGCAGCCGCGGUAAUACAGAGGGUGCAAGCGUUAAUCGGAAUUACUGGGCGUAAAGCGCGCGUAGGUGGUUCGUUAAGUUGAAUGUGAAAGCCCCGGGCUCAACCUGGGAACUGCAUCCAAAACUGGCGAGCUAGAGUAGGGCAGAGGGUGGUGGAAUUUCCUGUGUAGCGGUGAAAUGCGUAGAUAUAGGAAGGAACACCAGUGGCGAAGGCGACCACCUGGGCUCAUACUGACACUGAGGUGCGAAAGCGUGGGGAGCAAACAGG